Mesocricetus auratus (golden hamster) is the source of this 537-nucleotide long non-coding RNA. RefSeq lists it as uncharacterized. The record is from RefSeq and is a predicted model, not a curated record. NCBI's taxonomy places the organism in Eukaryota, Metazoa, Chordata, Mammalia, Rodentia, Cricetidae. The transcript has 3 exons.
UCCAGGAGGGCCUGGAGAAAUAAUACCUCCUUCUAUCCUGAGGCAUGCCGCCAGGUUCUUGGGAGGGUUGUCUAGAUCUGCUUCGGAUUACACUGGGACACCAGGCAUGAGAAUGAUGGCCACAGAGUCCCCACAGAGAGACUCCCCGAAGACCUCCUGAGAAAGGUCCUCCUCACCUAGCAGUCUUCUUAGAGGCUUAAACAGCUGAACCGGAAGCAGGGAAACGUUACCACGGAGCGCUCCUUCAAACUUUGCCUUCCUCUGGGCCUCACCACACCUAAGUGCUUUUAAUUCGCAAUCUACUGGCAUCCAAACCACAAACUCUCAGUUGCUCAUCCUGUGGAACCAAAUGAGAUCACCACAAAGUGGCUCCAUGGAUGAAAGCCCUCUUUCCUCAGAAACUCACUGGAGCACCAGCCAAAGGCACUGUCCAAGGUUUUUCUUAAGAAAUACACCCUCUAAAACAGCAAUCCAGCCAUGUCAAAAGAUCACCCAGCUUAGUGAGAAUUCUCUGCAAGAAGUAUUUUUGGUAGUGUU